UUCAUUUCACGGAGAAGCUCUUUGAACCCAAGGCCACUGGUCCUCCUGGGGGUUUCUGGAAGGGAAGUUCAGCUGAUGGGGGCAGAGAAGACUCUUUGUUGUGAAAUUCAAGACAGAAAAAUAGAGCUAAUUCAUAGUAACAAGAAUCUCGUUGUGGAGCCCAGGGUGGCCUUGAAUUUGUGAUCCAUACAAGGAGGAUGGAGGACUUCCGUUUCUCCUGCUGAGCCCGGAUCCUGGCAGAUGUUCGUGCAGGAUUCUGCUAGUUCUUUUGGAGACAUGGCCUCCUGCCCCCCUAACCCAUGGCCUUGAUCUUGCUACGUAGCUAACUAACGAUUACCUUGAACUUCUCGGUCCUCCUGUCUCCACCUUCCAAACGCUGAGAUUACAGGUAUGUAUGUACACCACGGGUGUGCCUGGCAUCUGUGGAUGUUAGAAGAGGAUGCUAUAUUCCCGGAACUAGAGUUAUGGAUGGCUGUGUGCCACCGUGUGGGUACCAGGAACCAAAUCCAGGUUCCCUGCAAGAGCAGCCAGCACUCUUAACAACUGAGCCAUCUCUCC
Molecule: long non-coding RNA, 558 nt
Organism: Meriones unguiculatus (Mongolian gerbil)
Lineage: Eukaryota; Metazoa; Chordata; Mammalia; Rodentia; Muridae
Exons: 3
Source: RefSeq, a predicted model, not a curated record